UGGGGAAUUUUGGACAAUGGGCGCAAGCCUGAUCCAGCCAUGCAGCGUGCGGGAAGAAGGCCUUCGGGUUGUAAACCGCUUUUGUCAGGGAAGAAAUCUUCUGAGUUAAUACCUCGGGAGGAUGACGGUACCUGAAGAAUAAGCACCGGCUAACUACGUGCCAGCAGCCGCGGUAAUACGUAGGGUGCAAGCGUUAAUCGGAAUUACUGGGCGUAAAGCGUGCGCAGGCGGUUUUGUAAGACAGAGGUGAAAUCCCCGGGCUCAACCUGGGAACUGCCUUUGUGACUGCAAGGCUUGAGUGCGGCAGAGGGGGAUGGAAUUCCGCGUGUAGCAGUGAAAUGCGUAGAUAUGCGGAGGAAACACCGAUGGCGAAGGCAAUCCCCUGGGCCUGCACUGACGCUCAUGCACGAAAAGCGUGGGGAGCAAAACAGGAUUAGAUACCCUGGUAGUCCACGCCCUAAAACGAUGUCAACUGGUUGUUGGGAAGGUUCCUUCUCAGUAACGUAGCUAACGCGUGAAGUUGACCGCCUGGGGAGUACGGCCGCAA
Molecule: ribosomal RNA, 547 nt
Filed under: uncultured bacterium
Lineage: Bacteria
Description: partial 16S ribosomal RNA
Rfam family: Bacterial small subunit ribosomal RNA
Source: RNAcentral